GUUUUACUUUGUCUGUGGGCUUUCUGGUUGCAAGAGGAGCCCAGGGUCCCCCAGGAAGUUCUCCUGUGGAGGCCUUGGGAGUGAGACAAUGCAGACAGGAGGCAGGAGGAGCAAGGGCAUGCAGGUGGAAGGAGUGAGGACAAAGGGCGAGAGGAGUAAGCCGGGCACGAAACACUGGCAGGACUGGGAGAGCUAGAAGGGAAGGCUGACCAGUAACACCAGCCCCCCCGCCCCAACUCCCAUGGACUCGGGAGGAUUUGAAGACCAGUCCUCUCUAUUUUUAGAAGAAGGGCAACUGUCUGUCUCAGGUCUUCCCUGGUGGCUCAGCAAUAAAGAAUCUGCCUGCAAUGGAGGAGAGCCACCCAUGCUGCUUGCACGGAGAAGCCUGAUGUGAAGAACUGACUCAUUGGAAAAGGCCCUGAUGCUGGGAAAGAUUGAAGGCAGAAGGAGAAGGGGAUGACAGAGGAUGGAUGGCACCACCGACUCGAGGGACAUGAAUUUGAACAAGCUCUAGGAAUUGGUGAUGGACAGGGAAGCCUGGCGUGCUGCAGUCCAUGGGGUCACAAAGAGUCAGACAAGACUGAGUGACCGAACUGAACUGAUGUGGCUCGCAUGGUUCCCAACAUGAUCUUAGUUUCCCAACCAGGAAUUGAACCCAUACCCUUGGCAGUGAAAGAGUGGAGUCCUAACCUCUGGAUGGCCAGUGGUUAGUCCCUAGGAUGUGGACAUCUUUUAGGGGUUGGAAUAAAGACCAGAGUUUCUUGUCUCA
RNAcentral lists this long non-coding RNA (769 nucleotides) under Bos indicus x Bos taurus (hybrid cattle). Its description in RNAcentral is "lncRNA (ENSBIXG00000016219.1)". Lineage: Eukaryota; Metazoa; Chordata; Mammalia; Artiodactyla; Bovidae. The record is from RNAcentral.